RNAcentral lists this ribosomal RNA (109 nucleotides) under Scleropages formosus (Asian bonytongue). The record is from RNAcentral. Lineage: Eukaryota; Metazoa; Chordata; Actinopteri; Osteoglossiformes; Osteoglossidae.
GCUUAUGGCCAUACCACCCUGCAUACUCCCGAUCUUGGAAGCUAAGCAGGGUUGGGCCUGGUUAGUACUUGGAAGGGAGGCCUCCUGGGAAUACCAGGUGCUGUAAGCU